Molecule: ribosomal RNA, 493 nt
Filed under: uncultured bacterium
Lineage: Bacteria
Description: bacterial SSU rRNA
Rfam family: Bacterial small subunit ribosomal RNA
Source: RNAcentral
UGCAAGUCGAACGAGGUGAUUGAAAGCUUGCUUUGAGAACCGAGUAGGCAAACGGGUGAGUAACGCGUAGACAACCUGCCGCAAAGAUGGGGACAACAGUCCGAAAGGACUGCUAAUACCGAAUGUUGUAGCAACCUCCGCAUGGAGGAUGCAUUAAAGAUGGCCUCUACUUGUAAGCUAUCGCUUUGCGAUGGGUCUGCGUCUGAUUAGCUAGUUGGUGGGGUAACGGCCUACCAAGGCGACGAUCAGUAGCCGGUCUGAGAGGAUGAACGGCCACAUUGGAACUGAGACACGGUCCAGACUCCUACGGGAGGCAGCAGUGGGGAAUCUUCCGCAAUGGGCGAAAGCCUGACGGAGCAACGCCGCGUGAGUGAAAGAAGGUCUUCGGAUCGUAAAGCCCUGUUGUCGGGGACGAAUGUACCUUUUGUGAAUAAUGAGAGGUAAUGACGGUACCUGACGAGGAAGCCACGGCUAACUACGUGCCAGCCGCAGC